This is a long non-coding RNA of Octopus sinensis (East Asian common octopus), 115 nucleotides long. RefSeq lists it as uncharacterized. The transcript has 3 exons. NCBI's taxonomy places the organism in Eukaryota, Metazoa, Mollusca, Cephalopoda, Octopoda, Octopodidae. The record is from RefSeq and is a predicted model, not a curated record.
GAUGGAGAGGGGCAUUGGCUCAUAUUUUAAUACAGUGUGCAUUAAACGAUGUUUAUCUCUCAUUGGAUAGAGUACUCUUUUUGUUGAUCCAACUUUAACAGAACAGCAAGAUAUA